RNAcentral lists this ribosomal RNA (89 nucleotides) under Vibrio parahaemolyticus. The record is from RNAcentral. Lineage: Bacteria; Pseudomonadati; Pseudomonadota; Gammaproteobacteria; Vibrionales; Vibrionaceae.
CCUGACUCCAUUCCGAACUCAGAAGUGAAACGAAAUAGCGCCGAUGGUAGUGUGGGGCUUCCCCAUGUGAGAGUAGGACAUCGCCAGGC